Triticum dicoccoides is the source of this 1186-nucleotide long non-coding RNA. RefSeq lists it as uncharacterized. NCBI's taxonomy places the organism in Eukaryota, Viridiplantae, Streptophyta, Magnoliopsida, Poales, Poaceae. The transcript has 2 exons. The record is from RefSeq and is a predicted model, not a curated record.
AGCCAACCAUUGGCGCUUAUUAAAAAUUGGCGGUCGAUUGGUUCGGCUCGAACCGUGGGCGCGCCAACACGCGGCCUAGCCAAAUAUUGGCGGCCUGUCUUUCCCCAUUCGCCAACUCCUGCCCCCACCGCUCUCCCCUCACGGUUCGCCCCACCAGAUCCAACCCUGUCCUCCUCCUUCGCCCUAAUUCCUGCCCCUGCGCCGCCAGCGACCAGAAAAGCUCAAGGACCUCGUAAAUCUCCUACUCCGGCGGGAAGUCCUCGGCCACCUGCCGAGCUGGGCCAGAUCCACCGGAGCAGUCAAGAAAAUAAAAUUUAACUACCUUACUCACUCCAUCAAGUUUUAUCAUCUCCUGGGAGAACUGUUUAGUGACUCGUCUCAUGCAGAUGGCUCACUAGCUAUUGAUGUGAAUGAUGCAACUGAGAAUGUGGAAUCUGAUGGUAGUAGUGAAACGAGCAACCACACAUCCACUGCCGAACAAGGUCUUAGUGAUUCCGACAUGAUUGCACCCAACAGUCCAGCAGAAGGCAAUAGCUCAAAUCUGAAGCGCAAGCAUGUUAAAGCACCACAUAAGAAGAAACCAAAGGUCAAGGCGCGUCGAGCCAGCGUGUUAGAUGAUGAUGUGGCAGCGAGCAUUGUGAGUCUUGCUGAAACUGUGAAAUCUGCUGCACCUAUUCAGCCAAUAGCAGUUACAGACCCCAAUGCCAAUCUUCGGAAACACAUUGAGUCUCUAACUAUCCCAGCAAAUGAGAAGAUUCAGUUAGCAACCUAUCUUGCUAAGCCAGAACAAGAAAUUUUCCAUGGUUUCCUGAACUGUGCAAGCGUCCAGACUUUUAAUGCUUGGGUCCUUGAUUAUUUCGCCCACAAGUACGACGGCAACGAUCGCGCAGCUGCUGAUCCAUCAAUCUGAAUGACAUGUUUGGUGGCUUUCUUUUGGCAAGUGCUUUUGUAGUCUACCCAUCUUUUCAUGCACUUAUGCUAAGUGGAAUUCCUGUGCUCUAAUGGUGUUUAGAGGGUCUUGCCUUUUGGAAUGCAUUGGUGUAGCACAAAUCUGAAUUAAGCUAGUUUGUAAGAAAUUUCCUGAUGCUUGAUGACCUUGUGCAUGCUACGUUGCAAUAUUGCAGUGGUAUGAUGGUGCUUCUAAAUUAGUAAAUUAUGCCCAUGAUAUCACAUGGCGUGUAAAUUA